UGAGGAAUAUUGGUCAAUGGACGCAAGUCUGAACCAGCCAAGUAGCGUGCAGGAUGACGGCCCUAUGGGUUGUAAACUGCUUUUAUAUGGGGAUAAAGUGGGGAACGUGUUCCCUUUUGCAGGUACCAUAUGAAUAAGGACCGGCUAAUUCCGUGCCAGCAGCCGCGGUAAUACGGAAGGUUCGGGCGUUAUCCGGAUGUAUUGGGUUUAAAGGGAGCGUAGGCCGUUUGGUAAGCGUGUUGUGAAAUGUAGGAGCUCAACUUCUAGAUUGCAGCGCGAACUGUCAGACUUGAGUGCGCACAACGUAGGCGGAAUUCAUGGUGUAGCGGUGAAAUGCUUAGAUAUCAUGAAGAACUCCGAUUGCGAAGGCAGCUUACGGGAGCGCAACUGACGCUGAAGCUCGAAGGUGCGGGUAUCGAACAGG
Molecule: ribosomal RNA, 424 nt
Filed under: Verrucomicrobiota bacterium
Lineage: Bacteria; Pseudomonadati; Verrucomicrobiota
Description: Verrucomicrobia bacterium partial 16S ribosomal RNA
Rfam family: Bacterial small subunit ribosomal RNA
Source: RNAcentral